Molecule: RNA transcript, 929 nt
Organism: Dermacentor albipictus
Lineage: Eukaryota; Metazoa; Arthropoda; Arachnida; Ixodida; Ixodidae
Source: RefSeq, a predicted model, not a curated record
CUUUCUGCUGCAGGCGUCGUGGGCACUUCCUUUCAAGAGAGGUCAUACGACUGUACGACUCAUGGUGCCAUACUCUCGUUUCAACGUCGUGGAGAUAAAGAACUGCGUGAAGAUGGGGCCAGUGAUAGUUCUGGUUGUAGCCGCCUAUUUGGCCACGUCUUGUGCUGCAACGCGCUACGGGGCCGAUAAACUAAAAACAUGGCUUUAAUGUGUAUUUGGAUUGCGGCUGCCUGCAUGGCUCUAUCUGCCGCUGCUGAGCCGAAGUCAGCAGAUCCUGCGUGCGACUUGAAGGAUGCAAAUGUGAGAGUUGCCAUUGCGAGGCUCCUCACAAAGUUUCCCGAAGACGAUUUGGUCGGUUCCGGAAACUUUUACUCUGUCUUUGCUGGCCUCGAAGUAGGCAGUGUCACCGUGAGUGGACUCAACAAACUGCAGCAGUUUGGUCCUUCGUUCCCCUAAUGCGUCAAUGGCACCCGCAGGGUUCAAGUAGACUUCAUCGACACAGGCAACGUCGUGAUGAAGAUGCCGUGGAGACACUGUUCCGGAGGUGAAGGCGUCUUUAUAUUUCGCUCAUUUCGAUCACGUUUCACGAUCCAGUUCGACAUCGAGGUCGAUGACCAUGGGCAGGACGCCAGACUGUCAUACAGGGGAUCUAGAAGCCCUGUGACAACUGACACUGUGCGACUAAGUGUUUAUGGUGCUGGUGCAACCAUGAAGACACUGGCCGAACGCCUUGCAAUGCUCUUUCCCACAGUGAUCCUGGAGGGUUGGAAAGUUCCAUUCUUUUACUCCGUGAGCAAAGCGUUCACUAUAUUAGGUACGGGGCUACGUCUACACCUAACCAACGAGACAGUAGCAACCUGACCACGAACAGUGCGUCUACGCCACGGAAAUGACCACAAUAAAGGCAGUACGAAUACAUAUGCUAUAUA